This 73-nucleotide transfer RNA is filed under the name Mus musculus (house mouse). Its description in RNAcentral is "tRNA-Ser". Lineage: Eukaryota; Metazoa; Chordata; Mammalia; Rodentia; Muridae. The record is from RNAcentral.
GGAGAGAUGGCUCAGUGGUUAAGUGCACUGACUGCUCUUCCAGAGGUCUUGAGUUCAAUUCUCAGCAACCACA